ACGUAUACUGAAUGUAUCCUGAGUGUAUACUAUCCGGUAUACCUUCAGUAUACGUAACA
Molecule: microRNA precursor, 59 nt
Filed under: Bactrocera dorsalis (oriental fruit fly)
Lineage: Eukaryota; Metazoa; Arthropoda; Insecta; Diptera; Tephritidae
Description: microRNA bdo-mir-iab precursor (bdo-mir-iab-4)
Gene: bdo-mir-iab-4
Source: miRBase by way of RNAcentral